GCCGAAAUGGCGGAACUGGCAGACGCGCUAGGUUCAGGUCCUAGUCCGGUUAACACUGGGUGGAGGUUCAAGUCCUCUUUUCGGCA
RNAcentral lists this transfer RNA (86 nucleotides) under Planctomycetaceae bacterium. Its description in RNAcentral is "tRNA-Leu". It matches the Rfam family "tRNA". Rfam says of the family: Transfer RNA (tRNA) molecules are approximately 80 nucleotides in length. Their secondary structure includes four short double-helical elements and three loops (D, anti-codon, and T loops). The record is from RNAcentral. Lineage: Bacteria; Pseudomonadati; Planctomycetota; Planctomycetia; Planctomycetales; Planctomycetaceae.